GGGUCAGUAGGUUGGUCGUGCCACCGGUACGUACUGGUCUCACUGAUUCCUCCUUCCUGAAGAACCGUAAUGCCAUUAAUUUGGUGUUGCGGGGAAACAGGACUGUUACUUUAAAAAAAUUAGAGUGUUUAAAGCAAGCUAACGCUUGGAUACAUUAGCAUGGAAUAAUGAAAUAGGACGAUCGAUCCUAUUUUGUUGGUUUCUAGGAUUGACGUA
Molecule: ribosomal RNA, 216 nt
Filed under: Glomeromycotina sp.
Lineage: Eukaryota; Fungi; Glomeromycota
Description: partial small subunit ribosomal RNA
Rfam family: Eukaryotic small subunit ribosomal RNA (bases 40-216)
Source: RNAcentral